Molecule: long non-coding RNA, 1027 nt
Filed under: Hordeum vulgare
Lineage: Eukaryota; Viridiplantae; Streptophyta; Magnoliopsida; Poales; Poaceae
Description: long non-coding RNA (HVUL_LNC004762)
Source: RNAcentral
UGAAGUUUAUUUUAAUGACCUCAACAGUCAACACCCUCUCUUCCAGUAUCCCUAAAACAACAACCACAUAAAAUUAUUUUUACAUGGAAAAUACAUGAAAAGUGGAUCACAAAGGCAGAUGAGGAACCAAUACAAGACUCGGUAACUCACUUAACCAAGAAUAUUUUCUAGGAAGGACUUCAUCAUACCACGUAGGACACUGUCUAUUGCUGCCAUCAAGUAAUGCCUACAUAGUAUAUUUUAUUCGCAUCAGCACCAGCCUGUAUAAAUAAAUUAUAAUUUAUUUGAGAAGUGCGUGAGAUGCCGUUUGCAGAAAAUGUAUGCACCAAGAAAUGAAGUUGUGUCUACACUACAUACUGAAGGAAGCUCCAUAAAUGAACAAAGAUUAAGAAGUGAUGCUUCAUAAAAAUAGCAAGAACUACUCAAACAGUAUACACACAUAUUAAACAAAAACCAUGUUUUUUAGCUAUUUCUUCAAACUACGGAAAUAAAAUUGCUAGGUGUAGAUCCUCCUUUAUGAUGAGCUUAUUUCUAAUUACAAUUUAUUUAAUUCAAGGAAGUUCUCUAUGUAAAGCUUAGAAUGAACAUCCACAUUUGCGAAUUGCCAGAAUGAACGUUCUCUGAUGUCUGAUUCUAAGAGGCGAACAAGUUGUCUGGUGUGUCCCAGGUUAGUGGAUAACCUCAAACAAAUUGACCUAGCAUCCAUACACACAUCCGGUGGAGACCCAUUCUUAAUAUUUGUCAUGUUCACUGGGCGGAGACUCUGCUACAUGAGAACGAUAGCGUGUUUUUCGUCAGCUAAAAAAUUCCCUAAACCAAUAUACAAGAAUAUAAAGUGCAAGAUAACUUUCAAGCAAUCAAACUGAGUCGCACCAUGGCUGGAGAAGUAAAAACCUGCAUCGAGGCUGAAGAUGCUCCUCUCGUCGAGGUCAAGAACGAGAUCCGCGAGGAGGAGGACUCAGGCUUCCUCCGCUUCCCGUGGGCUGCUUCAUCCCCGCGGUGCAGGAAGAUAUGUGAUGAACUGCCG